RNAcentral lists this long non-coding RNA (201 nucleotides) under Eutrema salsugineum. RNAcentral describes it as "long non-coding RNA (ESAL_LNC000729)". Lineage: Eukaryota; Viridiplantae; Streptophyta; Magnoliopsida; Brassicales; Brassicaceae. The record is from RNAcentral.
UCUGAAGAGAAUAAACAUAAUUUCUGCAUGUUCGAUUUCAUUUUUGUCGACCUUAAUGAUCUUCAACGCAGCGGUAUAUAUGUAGCUCGAGCUACCUCUCAUCUGUAUAUAUGUUUCCACAAUUCCAUUUCUCUUGUCUCUCUAUUAUGCCAAUUCCGGCAAUGAGUAUUUAUGAUAUCUCUUUUCGAUCCAGAUUUUUUU